GACGAACGCUGGCGGCGUGCUUAACACAUGCAAGUCGAACGGAAAGGCCCUGCUUUUGUGGGGUGCUCGAGUGGCGAACGGGUGAGUAACACGUGAGUAACCUGCCCUUGACUUUGGGAUAACUUCAGGAAACUGUGGCUAAUACCGGAUAGGAGCUCCUGCUGCAUGGUGGGGGUUGGAAAGUUUCGGCGGUUGGGGAUGGACUCGCGGCUUAUCAGCUUGUUGGUGGGGUAGUGGCUUACCAAGGCUUUGACGGGUAGCCCGCCUGAGAGGGUGACCGGCGACAAUGGGACUGAGAGACGGCGCAGACGCCUACGGGAGGCAGCGGUGGGGAAUAUUGCACAAUGGGCGGAAGCGUGAUGCAGCAACGCCGCGUGCGGGAUGACGGCCUUCGGGUUGUAAACCGCUUUCGCCUGAGACGAAGCGUGAGUGACGGUAAUGGGUAAAGAAGCACCGGCUAACUACGUG
This 468-nucleotide ribosomal RNA is filed under the name uncultured bacterium. RNAcentral's name for it is "partial 16S ribosomal RNA". It matches the Rfam family "Bacterial small subunit ribosomal RNA", at positions 28 to 507 of the family's 1533-position model. The record is from RNAcentral.